GUCUCAGGGCCGCCUCCCAGUAAAAUGGACUGCAGUGGAGGCAUUGCUGUAUGGUUACUAUACUACAAAGAGCGACGUGUGGAGCUAUGGCAUUGUGUUAUACGAAAUCUUCACUAUAGGUGGUCGUCCUUACCCCUCAGUUGCAGCUCACAAUAUCCCUUAUAAGAUAAAAGGCGGUUACAGAAUGCCUAAACCAGGCCACUUAGACGAUGAUAUCUAUGCGCUGAUGACUGAAUGCUGGGAUAAGGAGCCGGAUCGCCGUCCGACAUUUGAAUCUAUAAGCAGAAUUGUCAAACGCCUUGAGAAUUGUCACAAGGAAAUUAUUUACAUGAAUGUGUAUGACGAAGAUCUUUACAGUAACUUGGAAGACUGGGACGAGUACUAACAAGGACAGAGAGAAAGGUCUUUUUGAUAGAGGAAAACGUUUGUAUCACUUAAAUCUUAACUUUUUUUUCCCUGAUUCUUCUUUGACGAAGUGCUUUUAACAUAGGUUGCAAUACGGAUACAUUACUCCGUUGCUUAUUGACUAUGGUACAAACAACAUUUUAAUUUUUUUUUUCUUUUUUUUUAAAGUAUGUUCUACCUACAGUAUACCUUUAGUUUUGUUAAUAUAUCUUGGCUACUGAUAGCCAUAUGCUUUCAUGAGUAUAAGAUCACUCACUCCAACUAACACUGAACUAACUAACACUAACUGACACUAACUAACUAACUAACUAACUAACACUGCUCGAGGAAUGACCCAGGUAAUUCAGCUACAACAAUGUUAUUUAAAGAUGAUGUUAUAAUUAUCAAAUAGUAGUUUUAAAAGGUGCGUUUAAUUUUCAAUGUCUUACUUAUGCAAUGAAGUAAGGAAGGAUGCCAUUAUGAGAGGGAGUCGCUACCCGGAGGUUCUGGAGCAUUUUGAAACAGAUUUUCGCGGGAAUUCAGCUUUUUAAUUUCGUAAAAAGAAAUUAAGUACAUUGUAGCAUGUAGACACGUGAUGCGUUUUUGAGACAGAGAACACAAUUUGUUGCGCACUCUCGCUGAGCAAAGCUGACCGUUUGCAGCCUCGUGAAAAGUGUUCUUCGUUCCGUCAGUUGCUAUGAUUGUUAAUACACUAUGGCCACUACUUUUGCAGCGAGGUCGUCGUCGUAGAUAAGUUUAAAUAGGGGAGCAUGCAAGGACAGGUCGCCGUCGUAAAACGCGUACCCUUCUGAAUAAGAAGUCGUUAGUGGGGAUCCGACUGGAGUUAAAGUGUACAUGAGGCACAAGGAUACAUUUCUCAAGUUGAUUUUUUCUAAUUUUUGACAUUUUAAUAUUGUAAAAAGAAAAAGAAAAAAUAGAAAAAUCACUUAAUAAGAAUUAAAGUAAUAGUGUCUUGAACGUAAUUCCAGUACACUUUUAAAAUGCGUCACGUUUUCCAAACAUGAAAAUUAUGACUGACUUCCGAUGGUGCUGUAGCGCCUGGUUUAACAGGCCAGUCACAUUAGGUAGUCUCGAGGCCUUCUUAGUUCCAUUACAAAUUAAAAUAGACGCUUGUAUUCCGAAUUUUGCUAAAACAACUACAUUCGUCAAUCACCUGUUAAUUGAAUCAUUGCCUCUAACAGUUACGCCGGUCCAGUAGUAUAAGGGCGUCUACACCUAUAUCAUUAAGUAGGUGGAAGUCUUAAGAAUACAUGUCAAGUACUUUUUUAUUUAAAUAUACUUUAAAAAUUAAAUAAUAUUUUCCAUA
This 1711-nucleotide long non-coding RNA is filed under the name Stylophora pistillata. RNAcentral describes it as "uncharacterized LOC111343078". The record is from RNAcentral. Lineage: Eukaryota; Metazoa; Cnidaria; Anthozoa; Scleractinia; Pocilloporidae.